RNAcentral lists this ribosomal RNA (104 nucleotides) under uncultured bacterium. RNAcentral describes it as "partial 16S ribosomal RNA". The record is from RNAcentral.
AACCUUCGGGUCGUAAACUCCUUUCGAUCGAGACGAAUGUUUUCGGUCUGAAUAAUCCGGAAAAGUGACGGUACCGAGAGAAGAAGCCCCGGCUAACUCUGUGC